UGGGGAAUAUUGCACAAUGGGCGCAAGCCUGAUGCAGCCAUGCUGCGUGUGUGAAGAAGGCCUUCGGGUUGUAAAGCACUUUCAGCGGGGAGGAAGGCGAUAAGGUUAAUAACCUUGUCGAUUGACGUUACCCGCAGAAGAAGCACCGGCUAACUCCGUGCCAGCAGCCGCGGUAAUACGGAGGGUGCAAGCGUUAAUCGGAAUUACUGGGCGUAAAGCGAACGCAGGCGGUCUGUCAAGUCGGAUGUGAAAUCCCCGGGCUCAACCUGGGAACUGCAUUCGAAACUGGCAGGCUAGAGUCUUGUAGAGGGGGGUAGAAUUCCAGGUGUAGCGGUGAAAUGCGUAGAGAUCUGGAGGAAUACCGGUGGCGAAGGCGGCCCCCUGGACAAAGACUGACGCUAAGGUGCGAAAGCGUGGGGAGCAAACAGG
This 429-nucleotide ribosomal RNA is filed under the name Chloroflexota bacterium. RNAcentral's name for it is "Chloroflexi bacterium partial 16S ribosomal RNA". It matches the Rfam family "Bacterial small subunit ribosomal RNA", at positions 355 to 776 of the family's 1533-position model. The record is from RNAcentral. Lineage: Bacteria; Bacillati; Chloroflexota.